This 253-nucleotide ribosomal RNA is filed under the name uncultured bacterium. Its description in RNAcentral is "partial 16S ribosomal RNA". It matches the Rfam family "Bacterial small subunit ribosomal RNA", at positions 524 to 776 of the family's 1533-position model. The record is from RNAcentral.
UACGGAGGGUGCAAGCGUUAAUCGGAAUUACUGGGCGUAAAGCGUGCGCAGGCGGUUUGUUAAGUCCGUUGUGAAAGCCCCGAGCUCAACUUGGGAAUUGCAGUGGAUACUGGCAGGCUGGAGUACGGUAGAGGAAGGUGGAAUUCCCGGUGUAGCAGUGAAAUGCGUAGAUAUCGGGAGGAACACCAGUGGCGAAGGCGGCCUUCUGGACCAGUACUGACGCUCAUGCACGAAAGCGUGGGGAGCGAACCGG